CAGAUUCUGAAAUCAGAACUGGACAAAAAGCAAAAGAACUGCAAAAAGGAAAAAAUAGUUUGAUGGUGCCUGAUAGUAUGCAUGAAAAUGUUUCAAAUUGCGUUGGUGAGAUCUCUGACAAGAAAAAAAGGGCCCAAUCUGGGCUUGGAAAAACAAGUGAAACUUUACAUAGUGCAAAAAAGCCUAAGUGUUUAGUUCUGGGGGAUGCUACUGCUAAGGAAUCUAUCACAAAAAACAUGAAGAAUGUUUCUCCAAGCUCUAAUGCAGUUACUCAGUCCAAAU
This 282-nucleotide unclassified non-coding RNA is filed under the name Hevea brasiliensis (rubber tree). Lineage: Eukaryota; Viridiplantae; Streptophyta; Magnoliopsida; Malpighiales; Euphorbiaceae. The record is from RNAcentral.